Molecule: non-coding RNA, 1461 nt
Organism: Rattus norvegicus (Norway rat)
Lineage: Eukaryota; Metazoa; Chordata; Mammalia; Rodentia; Muridae
Source: RefSeq, a predicted model, not a curated record
CCGGAUAUUAAGGGAGUUGUAGUCUUUUAUCCCGACCGCGUUGCUUAUGCCUGUCUAGACUGUGGUCACUAGGGGGAGCUGUGGGGUGACUGACGCCACAGUCCCUCUGUUACAAGCAAUUCUUAAAAUAUAUGUAUUGCAGAUGCUUCAAAGACAUUAUAAAUACUUCAAAAAAUUCUGUUAUAUAUGACUUCCAAACUCAGAAAAAUAACACUAAGACAAUUCUUCCCAUAGAGUUAUCUAACGAAAUUUAAAUGAAAAGAAAGAACAAAAGGGUACUUAAAUCUCUGGUUGGAUUUAUUAGUUCCCUGCCCGCCAGGGUGGGUUUCCCAAAAGAGGCCUUUUCUCCUUGAAAGCAUUCAUGGCGCUUUCUUCCUAAGGGAGGUCAUGAAGUAGGCGAAACAACCUCUAGCCCAGAAUGAUUUGUUACAAUUUUGCUUUUCCAAUGAUCUCUUCCUUCAUUGUGAGUCACUGGGGACUUUAUGACGAUGUCUCUGCCUCCAUAGAGUUGACCAUACAAUAGAAAAAACACAUGUUAAGUCAUCCUGCAAAUGUGUAAAAUUACAUCUGUGACCUGCAAGAAGUCUGCACUCAGAGACAUGUUCCCAGGCAAAACAUGUUUGUAGAUGGAAAAAGUUAAUGAAUAGGCAUCAGGCAAGUGAAACUGGUAGACACGUGCAAAGGCCCAGGGGAUGGAGCAAGGCAAAUGCUAAAGCAGAUCUUUGGUUACACAGUGCACUGAAGGAUACGACACCAGAGGGGUAGAGCCAGGUUAUACAGGGGUCUCUGGUUCCUGCCCCGCAUCCCCUCCCUUCAUGGGUGAGAAGGCUUUGGAUUCCCCGUCUCUCAGUACUGACAGCUUUAGUUCCUGUUCAAGUGGGUCUGUCCCCCUCCUACUUCCUUGUGCUCCACUUCACCGCCAAAGCCAGAAGAAACUCCGGACACCAUCAACAACUCUCCUUGUGGGGCUUCCUAGACCCAGGCGCGAGCCUCGAUGAAGAAACACGCUUUUGGUGUCGCCACUUGGCCCUGCGGUUCUUGAACCAGACCUGAGGAGGAGGAAGACCAGGACAACUCAGGCCCCAAGGACCUACCUACCAUCCAAAGAACCUUGGAAGGACUAAUAGGUGGGCCAGGAUGUAGGCUUCACCAUGGAGAUGUAGGUGAAUGGAUUCGUGACACAGCCUUCCCUCACACACAGAAGAAAAGGACCAAGACUUACUAUUUUCCUAGUCUCCCCAGACUGAGCAAGCAACCAAGCUCUCUCUGUCUCUGUCUCUCUGUCUCUCUGUGUCUCUCCCCCACCCCACCUCCCCACUCUUUCUCUCUUGUGUAAACCGUGUGACCGUGCAACCUAGGUGGCUUCUCACUAUGUGAGGAGAAAGACUUUGACGAACUCACGAUCCUCCUGCCUCCAUCUCCCCAAGUGUUGGGAUUACAGAUGCAUGCCAUUAAGCACUA